Molecule: ribosomal RNA, 482 nt
Filed under: uncultured bacterium
Lineage: Bacteria
Description: partial 16S ribosomal RNA
Rfam family: Bacterial small subunit ribosomal RNA
Source: RNAcentral
GAUGAACGCUAGCGGCAGGCCUAAUACAUGCAAGUCGGACGGGAUUCAGGAGCUUGCUUCUGAUGAGAGUGGCGCACGGGUGCGUAACACGUAUGUAACCUACCUUUAUCAGGGGGAUAGCCUCUCGAAAGAGAGAUUAAGCCCGCAUAAAAUCACAGCACAGCAUUGUGUAAUGAUCAAAUAUUUAUAGGGUAAAGAUGGGCAUGCGGAACAUUAGCUAGAUGGCGGGGUAACGGCCCACCAUGGCGACGAUGUUUAGGGGAUCUGAGAGGAUGGCCCCCCACACUGGUACUGAGACACGGACCAGACUCCUACGGGAGGCAGCAGUAAGGAAUAUUGGUCAAUGGGCGGAAGCCUGAACCAGCCAUGCCGCGUGCAGGAAGACGGCCCUACGGGUUGUAAACUGCUUUUAUACGGGAAUAAACCCAGAUACGUGUAUCUGGCUGAAUGUACUGUAAGAAUAAGGAUCGGCUAACUCCGUG